Molecule: transfer RNA, 76 nt
Filed under: Pseudomonadota bacterium
Lineage: Bacteria; Pseudomonadati; Pseudomonadota
Also listed under: 1 other name
Description: tRNA-Ala
Rfam family: tRNA
About the family: Transfer RNA (tRNA) molecules are approximately 80 nucleotides in length. Their secondary structure includes four short double-helical elements and three loops (D, anti-codon, and T loops).
Source: RNAcentral
GGGGCCGUAGCUCAGCUGGGAGAGCGCUUGAAUGGCAUUCAAGAGGUCGGGAGUUCGAUCCUCCUCGGCUCCACCA